RNAcentral lists this ribosomal RNA (459 nucleotides) under uncultured bacterium. RNAcentral describes it as "partial 16S ribosomal RNA". It matches the Rfam family "Bacterial small subunit ribosomal RNA", at positions 338 to 795 of the family's 1533-position model. The record is from RNAcentral.
CCUACGGGCGGCAGCAGUGAGGAAUAUUGGUCAAUGGCCGCAGGGCUGAACCAGCCAAGUCGCGUGAGGGAUGACGGUCCUAUGGAUUGUAAACCUCUUUUGUCAGGGAGCAAAGGGCGCCACGUGUGGCGCUUUGCGAGUACCUGAAGAAAAAGCAUCGGCUAACUCCGUGCCAGCAGCCGCGGUAAUACGGAGGAUGCGAGCGUUAUCCGGAUUUAUUGGGGUUAAAGGGUGCGCAGGCGGAAUGUCAAGUCAGCGGUAAAAUUUCGGGGCUCAACCCCGUCGUGCCGUUGAAACUGGCGUUCUUGAGUGAGCGAGAAGUAGGCGGAAUGCGUGGUGUAGCGGUGAAAUGCAUAGAUAUCACGCAGAACUCCGAUUGCGAAGGCAGCAUACCGGCGCUCAACUGACGCUCAUGCACGAAAGCGUGGGUAUCGAACAGGAUUAGAUACCCCAGUAGUC